RNAcentral lists this ribosomal RNA (460 nucleotides) under uncultured bacterium. RNAcentral's name for it is "partial 16S ribosomal RNA". It matches the Rfam family "Bacterial small subunit ribosomal RNA", at positions 338 to 795 of the family's 1533-position model. The record is from RNAcentral.
CCUACGGGGUGCAGCAGUGAGGAAUAUUGGUCAAUGGGCGCUAGCCUGAACCAGUCAAGUAGCGUGAAGGAUGACUGCCCUAUGGGUUGUAAACUUCUUUUAUAUGGGAAUAAAGUGCAGUAUGUAUACUGCUUUGCAUGUACCUUAUGAAUAAGGAUCGGCUAACUACGUGCCAGCAGCCGCGGUAAUAAGGAGGAUUCGAGCGUUAUCCGGAUUUAUUGGGUUUAAAGGGGGCGUAGGUGGGUUGUUAAGUCAGUUGUGAAAGUUUGUGGCUCAACCGUAAAAGAGCAGUUGAUACUGGCAGCCUUGAGUACACGAGAGGUAGGCGGAAUUCGCGGUGUAGCGGUGAAAUGCUUAGAUAUCGCGAAGAACUCCGAUUGCGAAGGCAGCAUGCUGGAGUGUAACUGACGCUGAUGCUCGAAAGUGUGGGUAUCAAACAGGAUUAGAUACCCUUGUAGUC